GAUGAACGCUGGCGGCGUGCCUAAUACAUGCAAGUCGAGCGAACGGACGAGAAGCUUGCUUUUCUGAUGUUAGCGGCGGACGGGUGAGUAACACGUGGAUAACCUACCUAUAAGACUGGGAUAACUUCGGGAAACCGGAGCUAAUACCGGAUAAUAAUUUGAACCGCAUGGUUCAAAAGUGAAAGACGGUCUUGCUGUCACUUAUAGAUGGAUCCGCGCUGCAUUAGCUAGUUGGUAAGGUAACGGCUUACCAAGGCAACGAUGCAUAGCCGACCUGAGAGGGUGAUCGGCCACACUGGAACUGAGACACGGUCCAGACUCCUACGGGAGGCAGCAGUAGGGAAUCUUCCGCAAUGGGCGAAAGCCUGACGGAGCAACGCCGCGUGAGUGAUGAAGGUCUUCGGAUCGUAAAACUCUGUUAUUAGGGAAGAACAUAUGUGUAAGUAACUGUGCACAUCUUGACGGUACCUAAUCAGAAAGCCACGGCUAACUACGUG
Molecule: ribosomal RNA, 497 nt
Filed under: uncultured bacterium
Lineage: Bacteria
Description: partial 16S ribosomal RNA
Rfam family: Bacterial small subunit ribosomal RNA
Source: RNAcentral